Molecule: long non-coding RNA, 360 nt
Filed under: Bos taurus (domestic cattle)
Lineage: Eukaryota; Metazoa; Chordata; Mammalia; Artiodactyla; Bovidae
Description: long non-coding RNA NONBTAT018666
Source: RNAcentral
AUACUUUGUAUAAAUAAAAUGUCAAACUGGUAUCAUAUUGGCUUUAUUAUUUCACGGAAGAAAAUCCCAAGUGUAAGUUCCUGUCAUCUUAAUAGAAGGUUCUCCAAAUUUCUACUUGACUAACAGUACAAACUUGAAGCAAUUUUUCUUCCAAAUUUUUCUGAAGAUUAUUUAAUAUCUAUUUGGUAAGUGUAAAGAUAUACAUACUGACUGGGAUGUAAUAGACACUUAUUGUUCAAUGACUGUUUUGAUUUCUCAGUGUAAUGUCAUACAGUAAAAUGACAAUGUUCCAUUUGAGUUUGUAACAAUUUAAUUUUGUAUUUAUUGAUAUUAAGUAUAUAAAUACUAUAAAGACAUAGU